GCUGGGCGCGCUGGCGUGUCCCUGCAGUCCCAGCUAUUCGGGAGGCUGAGGCUGGAGGAUCGCUUGAGUCCAGAAGUUCUGGGCUGUAGUGCGCUAUGCCGAUCAGAUGUCCGCACUAAGGUCAGCAUUAAUAUGGUGACCUCCCAGGAGCGGGGGACCACCAGGUUGCCUAAGGAGGGGUGAACCAGCCCAGGCUGGAAACAGAGCAGGUCAAAACUCCUGUGCUGAUUAGUAGUGGGACUGUGCCUGUAAACAGCGCUGCACUCCAGCCUGGGCAACACAUCAUGAUCAUGUCUCCA
Unclassified non-coding RNA from Callithrix jacchus (white-tufted-ear marmoset), 299 nucleotides. It matches the Rfam family "Metazoan signal recognition particle RNA". From Rfam's summary of the family: The signal recognition particle (SRP) is a universally conserved ribonucleoprotein. It is involved in the co-translational targeting of proteins to membranes. The eukaryotic SRP consists of a 300-nucleotide 7S RNA and six proteins: SRPs 72, 68, 54, 19, 14, and 9. The record is from Ensembl. Lineage: Eukaryota; Metazoa; Chordata; Mammalia; Primates; Cebidae.